UYCCCUUUGGGGCWGGUKSACAGGUGGUGCAUGGUUGUCGUCAGCUCGUGUCGUGAGAUGUUGGGUUAAGUCCCGCAACGAGCGCAACCCUCGUUCYAUGUUGCCAGCACGURRUGGUGGGGACUCAURGGAGACUGCCGGGGUCAACUCGGAGGAAGGUGGGGAYGACGUCAAAUCAUCAUGCCCCUUAUGUCUUGGGCUUCACGCAUKCUACAAUGGCCGGUACAAWGGGUUGCGAUACUGUGAGGUGGAGCUAAUCCMAAAAAGCCGGUCUCAGUUCGGAUUGRGGUCUGCAACUCGACCYCAUGAA
This 310-nucleotide ribosomal RNA is filed under the name Micrococcus luteus. RNAcentral describes it as "partial 16S ribosomal RNA". It matches the Rfam family "Bacterial small subunit ribosomal RNA", at positions 1014 to 1324 of the family's 1533-position model. The record is from RNAcentral. Lineage: Bacteria; Bacillati; Actinomycetota; Actinomycetes; Micrococcales; Micrococcaceae.